Molecule: ribosomal RNA, 253 nt
Filed under: uncultured bacterium
Lineage: Bacteria
Description: partial 16S ribosomal RNA
Rfam family: Bacterial small subunit ribosomal RNA
Source: RNAcentral
UACGGAGGGUGCGAGCGUUAAUCGGAAUUACUGGGCGUAAAGCGUGCGUAGACGGUUUCGUAAGUCGGGUGUGAAAUUCCCGGGCUCAACCUGGGAAUUGCAUUCGAAACUGCGAGGCUAGGGUACGGAAGAGGGAAGCGGAAUUUCUGGUGUAGCGGUGAAAUGCGUAGAUAUCAGAAGGAACAGCAGUGGCGAAAGCGGCUUCCUGGUCCAAUACUGACGUUCAUGUGCGAAAGCGUGGGGAGCAAACAGG